UGCGUAUUGUUUCUGCAAAAAAACUGUUGUUGUCCUGGACUGGUGUUUCUGUGUUGCCUAUUUAGAAGUCGGUGUGGGCAAUCCAUGGACAGGAAACCACUCUUGCAAAAGGGCCAUCAUUCCCUGCCUGCCUAAUCUACGGCUGCUAACAAGAAUGACAGUAACAAAACCAGGGAGUAACAGCCUUCUCUGGCCCUUUGCUUUCUCUCUGCCAGAUGGGCACUCUGGCAGCAUAUAAAGGAGUCUUCAUCAGCUAAUGGCAGACUCAGCUGGAGCAGUGCGGCAGACCUGUGGUUAUAUACUGGGGCCAGAGAACCUUUGGAAGUAUCGUGCUGCAGCAGGCCAUGUUCCCUAGAGUGGGAUCUGAGAGGAUAUGGGAAGACUGGUGGUGUGUCUGCCUUAAGAAAUACACAAAUCAAUAUACAAAAGGAAACUUUGUAUGCUGUCAGUUGGUAUCUACGUCCAGUAAGAAAUGAGAAAGUAGGGGUGUCUGUAUUUCUGAUGACCCAGCUUUUUGGUAAGAGGAAAACUGCAUUCACAGAGGAACAUUGUGAUUCAGAACUUUUAACAAUGAAGUAGCACAGGAAGUAAUAAGCCUGAUUUGGAAAGUUAUUGUCUGGGUGCUGUGUUUGCAUAAAGCAAAUAGCAUGAACCUGCAUUGUCCAGUGUUGGAGGAAAAAAAAAACCUUCACAGAAAAGGAAGGUAGUUUGCUCUUGUGAGUCAUCAGGAGCUGGGUGCUAAAGGAAGGAGACGUUCCUGAGGUAAAAGUUUCUGGUAUGGGGAGAAGCAGUACUUUACUGUGGGUAUGGUUCCACUAGGAAAUUAGGUAUGUGCCCUGUUUUUGUGUUCUAAGGAGGCUGUGCUCCCUGGUAGAACGAUAGUGACAGUUUGUUGCAAUGUUUCAGGUUGAUUUAGCCACUUCAAGCUCUAUACCUGGUGUUUGAGUUUAAAGAAGUUUGAAUUUGGUUAAAAGUCUACGACUUUUCCCUACAAACAAUGGUUAGGUUCUGGGCCAGGUACAUCCCUAAUCCAAAGGUGCCUUCUGUGAACGCCUCUGAAAUUUCUGGUUCACAGCUGUUUUCUCAGGAAUUGUUUUGUAUCCUGCUGGUCUACAGUUACAGGAACUUUAGUAUUAUGUGGUUUUUCAAGGAAAAAAACCUAUGGUGAAGGAACACUCAGAAAAGCACCCAGCUUCUCUGCAUGGUCCUUUGAGGAGCUCUACUGCAAGAAAACAAAAAUGUUACACCUGAAUGGAGUGGUAUUUUUCUAAUGGGUCUUAAUGCUUUACCAUCUGGUUUGCCUGCCGAUUUUAGCUGUGAAGGGAUGUUUGGUGUGAGCACCCCAUUUCAUCACCUAGGAGGGUCACCACAUGGUAUAACAAUGCAUGGUAUAUAUUAUAACCUUUUGUUGACUUCUAUGCCCCUGUCACUCUAGAAUAUAUUUUGAGUAGGAAUAGCCAAUUUAGACUACUCCCUUGCCCUCUCCAAGGUCUGCUGCAAAGCAAAUGUCUCCCUGCUCAGACUCAACCCUGAGAGGGCCCCCACCUCCAGCAGAAAUGUCCCGGGACCCGUGCCGCGACCUCCAACUAAAUGUGUAGCAGUGGUUUGUCCUUCAAGUGUGAAGCCAGUAAGGACUCUCUACCACAGUUUUUGAACACAUUUCCAAGUAUGGCAGGGUUCAGUGGCAGGCACAUAAUAGGGCUUUUGGCAUGUAUUAUACUGUGCUCAACAACUCCACUCUCUGAUCCAAACAUGCCCACCAAAAAUAACUUCAGUGAACAGCUUUUAUUUUAAUUAUUCCAGUGUGGAACUCAUGAAGUUUUGCCAAAAAUCUGGCUUGUAAAGCUUUUUGUACCUAAGCACAGAAACCCCUAGUGUGUAGUUAAUCCCCCACUGGGAUUUUCCUGAUCCAGUCACAGGUCUAUUCUGCAACCUCAUCUUUCUUUACCUAUCACUUGCUCUCUCUGUUCACCCUACCAGCUCCUUGAAUUCUUGCCCUUUCUUGGCUUCUGUGACUGUUCUUUCCCAGCUAUCUCCUCUAAUUUUCUCUUUUAUUGUUCAACUCCACAUUUAAUGGUGGAUGGUGUUUUUUGGUGGUUCCACAGUAUUCCUGAUCUCUGCAAGGAUUUCAGUGACAUCAGUGUGUGGACUCCUCUCUCCUCCCUUUAUUCUCUCUGUCCAACCUAUUACAUGGCAUAAUAACCAAAAAACUUCACUUUUGCCAGUGACUUGCAAACUUGCCUUUUCCUAGAUGAUCUGUUUCAUUUCAUCACUGAGGCUCUUUUCUUCCAGUCUCCUUCCCUUCUUCCCCAUGUAACACAUGUGUAUACAUUUAUAUGUAAAAGUCAUAAAGCCAACAUAAGAAAAAGGGAUGUCUCUGUGGUGUGGUGGGACAAGCUACUGGGCUCUGCAGAACACUUCCAGUGCCUGAGAGGGCUGACUAUGGUAGUUACUCUCUCAUCUCUAUGCUGGAUUAUUUAUUUAACCUUUUCUUCAUCAAACCCUAAUUUGCUUUGUGGGGAAAUGCAAUUUAGGAUAUUGGUAUUUAAAAAAGUACUUGCUGUUAUUUUGUAAAUAACCUCAGAUAGUUAAUAAAGUGUCCCUCUAAGAAUAUUAAAUGUGAACAAGAAAAACAAAAAAGGUUUGAUAUGAUGUUCAGUUUUGUUGGGCUCAUUUCUUAAGCAUGCCAAAAGAGAAGGAAGAGGAGGAACUCUCUAGGGCAGGAUACUAUAGCAUGAUAGUUUUCAGCACAGGUGGGGAAAAUACAGGUUCAAGUGCCUGGAGGGAAGUGAGCCCGGCUCUCAGGCAGGCUGAGGGAGUGCUCUGGUUGUAACUCAAUUGCUGAAAGCAAGUCUGGCAGCAACAGCACCCACUUUAGUGUUUUGGUGGAGGAGGUCUGGCUAGCAUUGGAGGAGGAUGGUAAUCCCUGCAUUGAGAUAGGUGACCAAAUUCCAGAGAGGUUUAAGCUAAUUCUAAUACCUUCUGCAUUUCCCAAUGGCUCGCUUGAGCAGCUCCUGCUCAGUCUUCUGUUUGGGAUGCCUGUAUUCUCUGCUUCCCAAACCUCUGGAUCCCAGCUUGCAAGCACACUCCUGGAAGUCAGGAGAUGUGGUUUUCAGCCAUGUAGGGCUUGAACAUUGCUUGUGUCCAGAACAAAAUAUUUGUCUGUAUUUAUGUAAAUGCUUAGCUUUACAGGGUCUAUGCUUGCUUACCUUGAUAAGUGCUGCUAAAAAUAACAAUAUGGACAUUGUGACAUUUAUGUGCAGCAUUCAUAUAACAUUUGUUGCAACAUCUAUAACACCAUGCUGGAAUUUAUGGAGCAAAACCAUGGGGAAUGUCUUUGCACUAGCUAGGAACAGACAAGACAUAUAUUUUUGAAAGAACCCCUUUGCAUUUAGGAUACUUUCAAACUGCUGCUUACUAGCAUUUGACUCAACCUGAAACACAGUAUAUAAUACUAGCAUUUUCAUUUUGUCUCACAUUUGGACUGUGCUCUGGUUCUGCUACUGUAAGUUUCUGUGCCUAUGGAGUGGGGAAUAUGAAAUUGGGGAUUUUCGAAGGUCUGAAGGUCCUUCAGUGUCAAAUUACUUUUGGAAUUCUACUUCAGCACUUCCAUAGGGCCCCAAGUAUUCUUGGCAGUUUACAAUAGUCCUUGUCCCAAAGCAUUUAAAAUACAUUUCAGAUGUGCUGAGAAUAAUAAAUCUAGAAGAAGGGAGAAAGAAGGAAUGCAAUAAUCCAGGAUAUAGUUAGUGUAUCAGUGAUUAUAUGGGUACACUUUAAUUUAUUUUUAAGGCUUAGAUAGAAGGACACUUCACUUUUAAUUAUUUUUAAUUGACUUGCAUUGUGACAGCGUAAGGAAUGUUUCUAGAAAUCGUAUUUGAAUUAGAGGGUUUCAUAUGAACUCUGUUUUUGAAAGAAAGAGUGGCAAACACUAGACUUCAUUAUCCUGUAGAAAGACUAGAAACAAAAUGGUUUAUUCAUCUUCUUCUCAUAGCUACUCUUUUCCAAAUAUACUGAUGCAUUUCCCAACUGUGAUUGGAAGUAUAGAUAACUGAUAAACUCUUGCCUUAUGGCUAGUGCAAAGAAAACAGAACAUAAAGUUCUGCUUUAUUAUAAGAAGAGGGAUGCUGUAACAUUUGAACAAGUAUCAGCCAGAAGCUGAUAAAAAAAAACAAACCUAAAAACAAAAAUUAAAAAAAAAAAGUGAAAUAAUGGAAAAGCUUCUACUUUAACAAUUUAAAACUUUUAAAAAACAAAAACCCUGGAUUGUGUAGAUUUGGUGCCUACUCACUGGAACGUCACCAAAUCUCACUUGUUUAGCUUGGGCCUCACUCAAACAUAACUGGCCUGAAGCUAGUAAGCAAGCCAGCAAAUGUCCUGGCUUGUAAAGAAAUCUGAUCCAACCCUGUAAACCAAACCCAGCCUAAGAGUAGUGGUGAGGGGAACAUAUGGAAAAUUAAUGACAGAUAAUAGAAUGGUGGGACAGCCUUAAAGAAAAGAUUGUUGUUGAGUUUAUGCAACAAUGCCAGAUAAUAGUUUCUGAAUUAAGAAAGUUACAGAGUAUCUCCGCAAUGUUUUUGACUUUGCCAGCACUUAAGCUCUAGAAAGGGCUGCUGUGUUUCUCCCAUCCCAUUGCACAUUCUUAAUUGAUACCUGUAGCUGCUGGUUCAGCUGAAGCAGCACUUUGGGAAGCACAGAGAUCCUGGUCCCCACCUGUUUAAAUAAAUGAGAGCCUCAGGAAGAGGAAUGCAUUGGAAUUUCCUUGGGCUCAAACUGGGCAUAGCAGCAAAGGCCAGGCUGAGAGCUAGAAGCCUGCCCGAGCACUUGGAGGAGGAGAUGAGGAUGGUGUGUGUGCUUUCUUUUUUCCUCUGCAGACCUCCAGGCAUUUUGCAGAGAUAAGGUGCUUUGUGUAUGAUGUCACAGAUGGGGAAAUAGUCCCAGGGAACUCAUCAUUUCACAACCCCUCUCUGGUGAAGAAACUGGAAAUGGAAUGAAUGGAAAGAAUUAUUUUGGCAAAAGUCUAUGUAUUUCUGGAAUAUACAAAUCACGUAUUUGUUUGGGUGAUGGCCUGGGAUGCUCAUUUAGGGUAGACUUUGAAAUGUGACACCUUGCGGUAGCUAUUUUGUACCAAGACAAAAGUGAUCCCUUUUCCCUCAUUCCUCCACUUUUGUUUUAUUGAAAACCAGCUAAAACCCUAACAUUCUUCCUGCAUGGACCCUAAAAUGUCUCUCACUCCUCCCAUGGCUGCAUCCAUCCUGCUGCACAGGCAAAUUGAGGUUGCCCAUUGAGAGACCCUUUAGGCCAAAAGUUGUGCAACUCACCUGUUCAUUUGGGUGUUAAGAAACUCUUGUGCCAUUCAAUAUGCUUAUUUUUUCUUCCUGAACCUGUUGCCUCUGAGCAAACACAGUGGCUCAGGACCCUUCCCAGAAAAGAACUGAGGAGGCUGUGGAGACCAUGCUCACUUCAGAUUCCUGAAAAGCAGGCACCAAGUGUCUCUGAUGUCAGCUCUGAUGCUCAGCUGAGAGGACAAAUGGAUUUUGCCAAUAAAAGCUGUUCAGAGAGCUGCAUGGUCAACUCAUGUCACUUCUGUCACCCUGCUGAAUGCCACGUCACACUGCCAAUGCUUGGGAGCACUGACUGCUGGCUUCUGCAAGACUGGAAGGAAAGGAAGACCUGGACACAUUGACUACAUCUAAACUAUUAAACAAAAUUAGUCAGAGAAUUUUCCUGGAGGCCAGCUGGCGUGAAAUAGCUUGAAUCCACACAGCUAAACUCCCUUGCUCUCCAAAUCAUGGUGGCCACAUCCAAAAUAUCUGUUGGUGCCUGACCUGGGUCAAUACCCAAGAUGUGCUUUGGCAGUGUCUGGAAGAGCAUUAGCAGUCUUGCACCAAAACCAUGCCAGGGACCAGUUUAGUGGGAUGUAUGGUUUCAGGCCCAUGCCUUGCUGGUCUUUUUUAGUUUAAUAUCAGAGGGAAACCUCAGUAAUUCUGCCAGGAGUCAACAGGAAACCCCUUCUGGCCUCAGCAACCAGAAGCUGCUGAGAAGUAUAAUCAUGAUGUUGUUCACCUCCUUCACAUUUGGAUUAUUUUUCUCAUUUUAUUUUUUACCAAAUGAGCACUGAAAAUAUUUGAAAUCUCAUUGAGUAAUAAAAUUGGGUUGCUACCUGCACAAAACUUGUUGGUUUUGAACUCCUAAGAGAUUUUUCAUACAAGCUGAGCUUCUGGAAAAGGCAGCUUCAGCUCUUCUCCCUGAUGAAGGGUCUCCUAUGGCUUUGAGCAAGUUGCUAAGAGCUUGUGUGACCAGUGCCCUGUUUGGAUAUAGGACUAAAAAGCAAUGAGGUGGUAAGAUACAAACAUAUCAUUUGCUUGAGGUCACCUAAGCAUGCUGAACUGAUGUGAACAUAAAACUCCCCUUGAUUUCUGUGGCAAUUUAUUUCAUGUGUCUGGGAAGGCAAUUUAUUUUAAACCCUGCAAAAAGGACAUCGAGUACGUUGUUAUAUCAGGAUCUUUCCAGAG
Molecule: long non-coding RNA, 6512 nt
Organism: Onychostruthus taczanowskii (white-rumped snowfinch)
Lineage: Eukaryota; Metazoa; Chordata; Aves; Passeriformes; Passeridae
Exons: 6
Source: RefSeq, a predicted model, not a curated record